Non-coding RNA from Sus scrofa (pig), 3346 nucleotides. The record is from RefSeq and is a predicted model, not a curated record. NCBI's taxonomy places the organism in Eukaryota, Metazoa, Chordata, Mammalia, Artiodactyla, Suidae.
CCACACUGUAAGGACACAGUAAGAAGGUGACUAUCAAAAGCCAAGGAAGAGAGCUCAUGCCAGGACCCAACCAUGCUGACACCCCUCUCUUGGGCUUCCAGGCUCUGGAGCUGUGAGAAAAUUAAUGUCUGUUGUGUAAGCCGCCUAGUCUGUGGCAUUCUGUUACAGCCACACAGGAACACAGCUAGUUUCACACUCUUCACUAGCUUAUCUGAGUUCUGAGUGAGGAAUGAAAGCUGGAAAUCCUCCCCAGUGAGCAUUUUUAGGUAAAUUGGCACCUCUGAUGCUGGUUAAAAUAUCAAGUCUUUGAGGAAACCCUGUAGAUGGAGAAGUUAAUGCAGGGUCCCUUCAGGAAGAAUGUGAAGGUCACUUCCACAAGCAUGGUUUUGAGACUAGCAUAUAACAAGAAGUACACUGCCUUGUCCCUUCCUCCCUCCUCUUCUGUCUUCUCUGCUGCUGUACCACAUACAGCAUUCUUCCUACACUUCCUCACCCAAGACUGUGGAACCCUUAGGAGGCCCAAGACUGUGGAACCCUUAGGAGGAAGUCAGUAAGACCUGACACUUCCUAACUGUGCAGCUUGGGUAAAUUUCUGAGCCUCCAGAAGCUCGUUUUACCAGCCAUAAAGCAGACUGUUGUGAGGAAUAAACAAGUGAUAAGAAGACACCUGGCCCGUCUUCAGGCUGUAGAUUCUGAAAUAUGAAUGAAGGGAUGUGAAAGUGAUGGGCUCUGUCCUUACACCCAGCCCCAGUGGGAGCUUGGGCAGGGAGUGGGAGGAUGAGAAACGUCUUCAUUUUACACAACAAAGUGCUUCUCCAAGGGCUCGUAAAAGGCGCCUGCAAAAACCUCUGCCUUCCUGUGCCUCCCAGCCCCGAGGUUCUCAGGCUCAUCUGGCUCAACUGCGCUUUCUCCAGCGAUAACUCAGGAGCCCCAUUCAACCCGCGGAGUGGCAGGUAUAGGGUGUCACCCCUCAGAGCCCUGAGGAUGAGGGUGAGCGUCCAGGCAGCAGCCAAGCCCCCAAGGCUGGCCCACUGACACCGUGUGUUUUUCUAACAGCUUUCUUUGUUGACUUUAGUUCAUCAUUACAACGGCCACAUGAGCAAGUCUUUAUCGGGAACCGUAUCUUUGCUCUGUCACCUGCAAAAGGACUUGAGAACAAUGAAAACUACCUCUGCAGGAUAUUGAUUCUGAUGGAACAAAAUGUUGAUUAAGCAGAACAGUGACUUUUUUUUAACUGGAGGAGCUCCAGAUCUUUCCUUAGUCCCGUCUCUCCAGGGAAAUGAGCUUUAGCCUCAACAAUCUGCAGAAAACUCGAGUCAGAGGGAAGAUUUAUGAUGGGACGUGAUGGGCGGAAGACAGCUAUCUGGUAGGCCAUCUCGAAGCUCAUCUUUGUGUUAUUAGAGAAACACUCUCUCUCUUGACAGGAUAUAGUCUGGUUAUCACACCAUCGUCUCAAGUUUCAUUCCCCUUCUGCUUACAAAUGCCCCAAAUAUACAGAGAUGCAUUUCACGAAGACAGCCUUUUGAGAGGCAGUUUAUCCCAGCUGUUGCAGUCGAUCUUAAACACCUACCUUUUCACGCUGGUGUGGAGUUUACAUGUCGAUAAGCGUUAUAAAAAACGGGGGUGGGGGGCAGGGCGACGUUGGAAAUCUCAGCAAGGGUAAAGCACCAAGGCUGCCUGUGGGAAUUGAAGUCAGAAAAAAGAAAGAGCGCAGAAAGCUUGAUGUUCCAGUAAUGACACCCCCCCACCCCCCCUCCCGCGCCCUGGCCCACAGGAGACCCGCACUGCCUGGGGGCUGGGGGCUGACCCCAAACACCAGGGGCUGUAAACACUUUUCUAGUCACAUAAACAGGAUGGAUUCCUUGCCUGCCACUUAGGUGUUUUCCUGUUAAGGGCCGGUGGCAAAACAGAAGUGAUUAGAUGUAGGUAGAAAGCAGGAGAACCAGACGUGGAAGGUCUCAGGCUUCCCUCAGGAACUCUCUGUCCAGGCGUUGUGCACGUCCUACAGUGAUAAAUCCUCAGCGCCUGAUGUUGCCGCUAUCAUUUGCGCUCCCAGUUGGCCCAGUGGGAUUUGUUGGUCAAUGACCCGUGAGCUUUCUCUCACUCCUGGGUCUGUACGCAUAGAGAGCAGAAAGCUCUUGGGGAGCUGCUGAGAUUAAGUCCCUGAAGACUUUCAAAGUGGGGGGUUGGGGAGUUAGAAUUGAGUGUUAAAUGGGGAAAAUGGGAGUUCCCACUCUAGGACAGCAGAAAGGAAUCUGACUAGUAUCCAUGAGGAUGAGGUUUCGAUUCCUGGCCUUGCUCAGUGGGUUAAAGAUCCGGUGUUGCCCUGACCUGUGAUGCAGGUCCCAGAUGCUGCUGGGAUCCGGUGUUGCUGUGGCUGUGAUGUAGGCAGGCAGCUGUAGCUCUGAUUCAACCCCUUACCUUGGAACUUCCAGGUGGCACGGGUGUGGCCCUAAAAAGCAAAAGAAACAAACAAACAAAUAAGGAAAACAGGAGACUUGGGUCCAGAGCCUUGCCAGGGUCCCAUUUUAGCAGAGGGGGGCGGGGUGGGGGGGUUGUUGGAGAGGAAAUAAACCUGGGACUCCAAGCCCACAGGAUGAACGGUCGUGUUUGAAGUUGGGACUGGUGAGCUCAGGAAGCUGGCUGCAUCGGGUUCCCAUUAGCUCAGGCAGCGGCACAGUGGGUUCACACCAUCGACAUGGUAACAAUUAAGCCUUCUGCUACUGGUCCUUCCCUGGGGGUGAGGCUCUUUUGUUCCUCACCCAUGUGACUGCAAGUCGCCCUGGUUUCCUUAUGGCUCGAUUUCCUGCAGAUUCCCAUUACUUAGCAUCUAAUCUUCUGAGACCUCUUAUUAGACCACACAAAUGGCAGCAAUUGUCUCCAGCACAUAGACCCUGUCCCAGACCUGCAAUGCGCCUAGGAGAAAUGCUGUGUCUCUCUGAAAUGUGAGAGUUACUUGCAAUGUAAAUAGUCAGAUUACCAAAAAUCAGAGUUCAUUCAAUAUUAAGGGAAAAUAAAUUAAUUAUACAUGCAUACUCUGAAGCAUGCUAAAUUAUUCCUCCCCUACCCCUUGUAUUUUAAAGUAUGGUUUAGAACAAUUAUCUCCACCUUCAGUGAUGAGAGAGGGAAGGAAGGAACAAAUGACUGUAAUAUGUAGGGGAAAGCUAAAAAGAUAGAAAGUUCUGAUUUUUUUCAAGGAAGAAGAAUACAUCUCUAUAGAGACAAAGCCAAAUCAUAGAAAAUGUGAUUUGGGCUGAACUUUGAAAAAUAGGUAGAAUUUGGGAGUUUCCAUCACGGCUCAGGAGUUUCCGUUGUGGCUCAGUGGAAAUGAAUCUGACUAGCAUCC